RNAcentral lists this ribosomal RNA (740 nucleotides) under uncultured archaeon. RNAcentral describes it as "bacterial SSU rRNA". It matches the Rfam family "Archaeal small subunit ribosomal RNA", at positions 1 to 750 of the family's 1478-position model. The record is from RNAcentral.
UUCCGGUUGAUCCUGCCGGACCCGACUGCUAUCAGAGUGAGAUUAAGCCAUGUGAGUCAUUGUAGCAAUACGUGGCAUACGGCUCAGUAACACGUAGUCAACAUGCCCAGGGGACGUGGAUAACCUCGGGAAACUGAGAAUAAACCACGAUAGGUCACGAUUUCUGGAAUGGAUCAUGGCCUAAAUCUAUAUGGCCCCUGGAUUGGACUGCGGCCGAUCAGGCUGUUGGUGAGGUAAUGGCCCACCUAACCUGUAACCGGUACGGGCUCUGAGAGGAGGAGCCCGGAGAUGGGCACUGAGACAAGGGCCCAGGCCCUAUGGGGCGCAGCAGGCGCGAAACCUCUGCAAUAGGCGAAAGCUUGACAGGGUUACUCUGAGUGAUUUCCGUUAAGGAGAUCUUUUGGCACCUCUAAAAAUGGUGCAGAAUAAGGGGUGGGCAAGUCUGGUGCCAGCCGCCGCGGUAAUACCAGCACCCCGAGUGGUCGGGACGAUUAUUGGGCCUAAAGCAUCCGUAGCCGGUCCUGCAAGUCUUCCGUUAAAUCCAGCUGCUCAACAGAUGGGCUGCGGGAGAUACUACAGGGCUAGGAGGCGGGAGAGGCAAGCGGUACUUUAUGGGUAGGGGUAAAAUCCGCUGAUCCAUAGAAGACCACCAGUGGCGAAGGCGGCUUGCCAGAACGCGCUCGACGGUGAGGGAUGAAAGCUGGGGGAGCAAACCGGAUUAGAUACCCGGGUAGUCCCAG